This 97-nucleotide signal recognition particle RNA is filed under the name Serratia symbiotica. RNAcentral's name for it is "signal recognition particle sRNA small type". It matches the Rfam family "Bacterial small signal recognition particle RNA". From Rfam's summary of the family: The signal recognition particle (SRP) is a universally conserved ribonucleoprotein involved in the co-translational targeting of proteins to membranes. Archaeal SRP consists of a 7S RNA and homologues of the eukaryotic SRP19 and SRP54 proteins. The record is from RNAcentral. Lineage: Bacteria; Pseudomonadati; Pseudomonadota; Gammaproteobacteria; Enterobacterales; Yersiniaceae.
UGCUAGUUCUCCCGCAACACUAGCGUGUGGACUCGGUCAGAUCCGGAAAGAAGCAGCCGCAGCAGGUAACGUGUGUGCCGGGAUGUGGCUGGUAGGG